Molecule: ribosomal RNA, 587 nt
Filed under: Staphylococcus aureus
Lineage: Bacteria; Bacillati; Bacillota; Bacilli; Caryophanales; Staphylococcaceae
Description: partial 23S ribosomal RNA
Rfam family: Bacterial large subunit ribosomal RNA
Source: RNAcentral
UUAGGGCUAGCCUCAAGUGAUGAUUAUUGGAGGUAGAGCACUGUUUGGACGAGGGGCCCCUCUCGGGUUACCGAAUUCAGACAAACUCCGAAUGCCAAUUAAUUUAACUUGGGAGUCAGAACAUGGGUGAUAAGGUCCGUGUUCGAAAGGGAAACAGCCCAGACCACCAGCUAAGGUCCCAAAAUAUAUGUUAAGUGGAAAAGGAUGUGGCGUUGCCCAGACAACUAGGAUGUUGGCUUAGAAGCAGCCAUCAUUUAAAGAGUGCGUAAUAGCUCACUAGUCGAGUGACACUGCGCCGAAAAUGUACCGGGGCUAAACAUAUUACCGAAGCUGUGGAUUGUCCUUUGGACAAUGGUAGGAGAGCGUUCUAAGGGCGUUGAAGCAUGAUCGUAAGGACAUGUGGAGCGCUUAGAAGUGAGAAUGCCGGUGUGAGUAGCGAAAGACGGGUGAGAAUCCCGUCCACCGAUUGACUAAGGUUUCCAGAGGAAGGCUCGUCCGCUCUGGGUUAGUCGGGUCCUAAGCUGAGGCCGACAGGCGUAGGCGAUGGAUAACAGGUUGAUAUUCCUGUACCACCUAUAAUCGUUUUA